This is a ribosomal RNA of 1484 nucleotides. It matches the Rfam family "Bacterial small subunit ribosomal RNA".
UUAUUGGAGGAUUUGAUCCUGGUCCAGGAUGAACGCUGGCGGCGUGGAUAAGGCAUGCAAGUCGAACGGUUGUUUAUUACUUAGCAAUAAGUAAUAAACGAUAGUGGCGAACGAGUUAGUAACACCUUGGUACAUACCCUGAAGAUGGGAAUAGCUCACCGAAAGGUGGGGUAAUACCCAAUACGAUCGCAAGAUGAAAGUCGCAAGACGCUUUAGGAUUGGCCUAGGCCCGAUCAGCUAGUUGGUGAGGUAAUGGCUCACCAAGGCUACGACCGGUAGGGGAGCUGAGAGGCUGUUCCCCAACGACGCAACUGAGACACGGUGCGUACUCCUACGGGAGGCAGCAGUCGAGAAUAUUCCACAAUGGGCGAAAGCCUGAUGGAGCGACGCCGCGUGCAGGAUGAAGGUCUUAGGAUUGUAAACUGCUUUUCUAUGGGAAGAAGCUACAUUAGUAGUGUGACGGUACCAUAGGAAUAAGGGGCUGCAAACUUCGUGCCAGCAGCCGCGGUAAUACGAAGGCCCCGAGCGUUAUCCGGAUUUAUUGGGCGUAAAGGGCGCGUAGGCGGCUUGGUGCGUCUCAUGUUAAAUCUCACUGCUCAACGGUGAAAUCGCAUGAGAUACGAUCAAGCUUGAGAGUGUUAGAGGUAGAUGGAACUCAUGGUGUAGGGGUGACAUCCGUUGAUAUCAUGGGGAACACCAAAGGCGAAGGCAUUCUACUGGGACAUUUCUGACGCUGAGGCGCGAAAGCGUGGGGAGCAAAAAGGAUUAGAUACCCUUGUAGUCCACGCCCUAAACGAUGAUCACUAGCUGUCUCGAGUAUCGACCCUCGGGGUGGCGAAGCUAACGCGUUAAGUGAUCCGCCUGGGAAGUACGGCCGCAAGGCUAAAACUCAAAGGAAUAGACGGGGACUCGCACAAGCGGUGGAGCAUGUGGUUUAAUUCGACGGUAAACGAGAAACCUUACCAAGGCUUGAAAUUCAAACGAAAGGUGUCCGAAAGGAUAUCCCUCUCACAAGGACGUUUGGACAGGUGCUGCAUGGUUGCCGUCAGCUCGUGUCGUGAGACGUUCCCUUAAGUGGGGUAACGAGCGCAACCCCUGUCCUGUGUUAUAUGUGUCACAGGAGACUGCCAUCUUAUAGAUGGAGGAAGGCGGGGACGACGUCAAAUCAGCAUGGCCCUCUGACGCCUUGGGCUACACACAUGCUACAAUGGUGGGUACAACGGGUUGCCAAAUCGCAAGAUGGAGCCAAUCCUUCAAAACCCACCCCAGUUCAGAUUGAGGGCUGCAACUCGCCCUCAUGAAGUCGGAAUCGCUAGUAAUCGCGGAUCAGCAGGCCGCGGUGAAUACGUUCUCGAGUCCUGUACUCACUGCCCGUCACGUCAAGGGAGCCGGUACUACCUGAAGUUUCGUGAAGGAAUCAGGGUAAGAUCGGUGACAUGGACGAAGUCGUAACAAGGCACGGGUAGCGGAAGCUGCUCGUGGAU